CAUUAAACUUUUCAGCUAGAGUAUGAUAGAGGAAAGCAGAAUUUCUAGUGUAGAGGUGAAAUUCGUAGAUAUUAGAAAGAAUACCAAUUGCGAAGGCAGCUUUCUGGAUCAUUACUGACACUGAGGAACGAAAGCAUGGGUAGCGAAGAGGAUUAGAUACCCUCGUAGUCCACGCCGUAAACGAUGUGUGUUAGACGUUGGAAAUUUAUUUUCAGUGUCGCAGGGAAACCGAUAGACACACCGCCUGGGGAGUACGACCGCAAGGUUAAAACUCAAAUGAAUUGACGGGGACCCGCACAAGUAGUGGAGCAUGUGGUUUAAUUCGAAGAUACUCGCAGAACCUUACCAACACUUGACAUGUUCGUCGCGACUCUAAGAGAUUAGAGUUUUCGGUUCGGCCGGACGAAACACAGGUGCUGCAUGGCUGUCGUCAGCUCGUGUCGUGAGAUGUUGGGUUAAGUCCCGCAACGAGCGCAACCCUCACUUUUAGUUGCCAUCAUUAAGUUGGGCACUCUGAAAGAACUGCCAGUGAUAAGCUGGAGGAAGGUGGGGAUGACGUCAAGUCCUCAUGGCCCUUACGUGUUGGGCUACACACGUGCUACAAUGGUAUCUACAACAGGAAGCAAGACUGCGAAGUUAAGCAAAUCCCUAAAAGAUACCUCAGUUCGGAUUGCACUCUGCAACUCGAGUGCAUGAAGCUGGAAUUACUGGUAAUCGUGGAUCAGCGUGCCACGGUGAAUGCGUUCCCGGGUCUUGUACACACCGCCCGUCACACCAUGGGAGUUGGUUCUACCUUAAGGCAAGGUUUUAAACCCUUGACCACGGUAUAGUCAGCGACUGGGGUGAAGUCGUAACAAGGUAACCGUA
RNAcentral lists this ribosomal RNA (867 nucleotides) under uncultured bacterium. Its description in RNAcentral is "bacterial SSU rRNA". It matches the Rfam family "Bacterial small subunit ribosomal RNA", at positions 626 to 1504 of the family's 1533-position model. The record is from RNAcentral.